Long non-coding RNA from Notolabrus celidotus (New Zealand spotty), 490 nucleotides. RefSeq lists it as uncharacterized. The transcript has 2 exons. Lineage: Eukaryota; Metazoa; Chordata; Actinopteri; Labriformes; Labridae. The record is from RefSeq and is a predicted model, not a curated record.
UUUCACCUGUUAGGUCUCAGCGUGUGAGGCUGAUCCGUGUUCUAUCAGAGGUUAUUUUAUCUUCCACUGGGUCUCCUCAGGACUGCGUCCUCUCGGAUCUUUUAUUUGUUUUGUUCACCAAUUGGUGCCGCAGCCAGCAUGUGGUUCAUCACUUUAUUAGGUUUGCUGACGACGUUUGCUCCUUUAUGAUGAUCCCAAUCAUGGUCCUGUUCUUGUUUCAUUCCUUCAGCCUGUUGCUGUCAGAGAGGAGGGAGGAGGGCCCUUCUCCAUCCAGGGAAUCCUGACCCAGAAACUGUGCCACGACCAGGCGGCAACAGCAGCCGCAGUGUGUGUGAGGAGGUCAGCAAGUUCACGGAGAUCUCCUUCCUUACAGCUCCGGCCCUUCCCCAUCAUAUCUAUCAAUAGGAACGACCUACUUUCUGGCCACAGUCAAUAAUGUAUUGACUAUUGUGAGAGCCAUCAAAUAAAUAAAACCCUUGUUUGUUUUAGA